CAGAUAGAGAAUCUUCUCAGA
Molecule: microRNA, 21 nt
Filed under: Oryza sativa (Asian cultivated rice)
Lineage: Eukaryota; Viridiplantae; Streptophyta; Magnoliopsida; Poales; Poaceae
Also listed under: 1 other name
Description: osa-miR5339
Source: miRBase by way of RNAcentral